This 84-nucleotide transfer RNA is filed under the name Gemmatimonadota bacterium. RNAcentral's name for it is "Gemmatimonadetes bacterium (bioreactor metagenome) tRNA-Ser". The record is from RNAcentral. Lineage: Bacteria; Pseudomonadati; Gemmatimonadota.
GGAGCGGAUCCGGCUGGAUGAGGAAGCGGUCCCGAAAACCGCCGGGCCAUUGCGGUCUUGUGAGUUCGAGUCUCACCCGCUCCG